RNAcentral lists this ribosomal RNA (301 nucleotides) under uncultured bacterium. RNAcentral's name for it is "partial 16S ribosomal RNA". It matches the Rfam family "Bacterial small subunit ribosomal RNA", at positions 509 to 809 of the family's 1533-position model. The record is from RNAcentral.
CAGUCGCCACGGGAAUACGUAGGUGGCGAGCGUUGUCCGGAAUUAUUGGGCGUAAAGGGCUCGCAGGCGGUUUCUUAAGUCUGAUGUGAAAGCCCCCGGCUCAACCGGGGAGGGUCAUUGGAAACUGGGAAACUUGAGUGCAGAAGAGGAGAGUGGAAUUCCACGUGUAGCGGUGAAAUGCGUAGAGAUGUGGAGGAACACCAGUGGCGAAGGCGACUCUCUGGUCUGUAACUGACGCUGAGGAGCGAAAGCGUGGGGAGCGAACAGGAUUAGAUACCCCUGUAGUCCCUGUCUCUUAUAU